Molecule: ribosomal RNA, 505 nt
Filed under: uncultured bacterium
Lineage: Bacteria
Description: partial 16S ribosomal RNA
Rfam family: Bacterial small subunit ribosomal RNA
Source: RNAcentral
GACGAACGCUGGCGGCGUGCCUAAUACAUGCAAGUAGAACGCACAGUUUAUACCGUAGCUUGCUACACCAUAGACUGUGAGUUGCGAACGGGUGAGUAACGCGUAGGUAACCUGCCUGGUAGCGGGGGAUAACUAUUGGAAACGAUAGCUAAUACCGCAUAAUAUUAAUUAUUGCAUGAUAAUUAAUUGAAAGGUGCAAUUGCACCACUACCAGAUGGACCUGCGUUGUAUUAGCUAGUAGGUGAGGUAACGGCUCACCUAGGCGACGAUACAUAGCCGACCUGAGAGGGUGAUCGGCCAAACUGGGACUGAGACACGGCCCAGACUCCUACGGGAGGCAGCAGUAGGGAAUCUUCGGCAAUGGACGAAAGUCUGACCGAGCAACGCCGCGUGAGUGAAGAAGGUUUUCGGAUCGUAAAGCUCUGUUGUAAGAGAAGAACGGGUGUGAGAGUGGAAAGUUCACACUGUGACGGUAUCUUACCAGAAAGGGACGGCUAACUACGUG